Molecule: ribosomal RNA, 288 nt
Filed under: uncultured bacterium
Lineage: Bacteria
Description: partial 16S ribosomal RNA
Rfam family: Bacterial small subunit ribosomal RNA
Source: RNAcentral
CUGGCGGCAGGCUUAACACAUGCAAGUCGAACGAGCUGGGGCCUUCGGGUCCCGAUGCUAGUGGCGCACGGGUGAGUAACACGUGGGAAUAUGCCCUUUAGUACGGAAUAACCAAGGGAAACUUUGGCUAAUACCGUAUACGCCCUUCGGGGGAAAGAUUUAUCGCUAAAGGAUUAGCCCGCGUAAGAUUAGCUUGUUGGUGGGGUAAAGGCCUACCAAGGCGACGAUCUUUAGCUGGUCUGAGAGGACGAUCAGCCACACUGGGACUGAGACACGGCCCCAGACUCC